This 452-nucleotide ribosomal RNA is filed under the name uncultured bacterium. RNAcentral's name for it is "bacterial SSU rRNA". It matches the Rfam family "Bacterial small subunit ribosomal RNA", at positions 340 to 783 of the family's 1533-position model. The record is from RNAcentral.
UACGGAAGGCAGCAGGGGGGAAUAUUGCACAAUGGGCGCAAGCCUGAUGCAGCCAUGCCGCGUGUAUGAAGAAGGCCUUCGGGUUGUAAAGUACUUUCAGCGGGGAGGAAGGCGGUGGAGUUAAUAGCUUCACCGAUUGACGUUACCCGCAGAAGAAGCACCGGCUAACUCCGUGCCAGCAGCCGCGGUAAUACGGAGGGUGCAAGCGUUAAUCGGAAUUACUGGGCGUAAAGCGCACGCAGGCGGUCUGUCAAGUCGGAUGUGAAAUCCCCGGGCUUAACCUGGGAACUGCAUUCGAAACUGGCAGGCUAGAGUCUUGUAGAGGGGGUAGAAUUCCAGGUGUAGCGGUGAAAUGCGUAGAGAUCUGGAGGAAUACCGGUGGCGAAGGCGGCCCCUGGGACAAAGACUGACGCUCAGGGUGCGAAAGCGUGGGGAGCAAACGAGGAUUAGAU